RNAcentral lists this ribosomal RNA (276 nucleotides) under uncultured bacterium. RNAcentral describes it as "partial 16S ribosomal RNA". It matches the Rfam family "Bacterial small subunit ribosomal RNA", at positions 29 to 333 of the family's 1533-position model. The record is from RNAcentral.
AACGAACGCUGGCGGCAUGCCUAACACAUGCAAGUCGAACGAGACCUUCGGGUCUAGUGGCGCACGGGUGCGUAACGCGUGGGAAUCUGCCCUUAGGUACGGAAUAACUCAGGGAAACUUGAGCUAAUACCGUAUAAUGACUUCGGUCCAAAGAUUUAUCGCCUAAGGAUGAGCCCGCGUCGGAUUAGCUAGUUGGUGAGGUAAAAGCUCACCAAGGCGACGAUCCGUAGCUGGCUGAGAGGAUGAUCAGCCACACUGGGACUGAGACACGGCCCA